GGGUCAAUGCUGGGAACUCAUUAUGACAUGAAGAAAGAUAAUUACUUAAAAUCAAGCUCAAUAGGAAUACACUGAAGCCC
Molecule: small nucleolar RNA, 80 nt
Organism: Catagonus wagneri (Chacoan peccary)
Lineage: Eukaryota; Metazoa; Chordata; Mammalia; Artiodactyla; Tayassuidae
Gene: SNORD115
Rfam family: Small nucleolar RNA SNORD115
About the family: HBII-52 is a member of the C/D class of snoRNAs, which contain the C (UGAUGA) and D (CUGA) box motifs.
Source: Ensembl